Molecule: long non-coding RNA, 233 nt
Filed under: Physcomitrium patens
Lineage: Eukaryota; Viridiplantae; Streptophyta; Bryopsida; Funariales; Funariaceae
Description: long non-coding RNA (PPAT_LNC004259)
Source: RNAcentral
AUCUUUAAUAUAAAAUAAAUAUGGUUUAAAAAAGAUUGCAUUCUACCUUCUACUUUUAUUUAUAAUUUAUGUAUAUUUGUGGCUUUAAAGAGAUGAAAAACAAAUAAUUAGUCGAUUUAAUUAAAAAGCUAUAAUUUAUUGACUAAUUAGAUGCGAUAUUAUGAUUGUGACAGCUUUCAAGACAAUGUAAUAGAAAUAAAGACCUUCAAGAAUGACAUGUUCUUUUUUGAAUA